RNAcentral lists this ribosomal RNA (395 nucleotides) under uncultured bacterium. RNAcentral's name for it is "bacterial SSU rRNA". It matches the Rfam family "Bacterial small subunit ribosomal RNA", at positions 362 to 773 of the family's 1533-position model. The record is from RNAcentral.
UAUUGCACAAUGGAGGAAACUCUGAUGCAGUGACACCGCGUAUAGGAAGAAGGUUUUCGGAUUGUAAACUAUUUUAGACAGGGAAGAAAAAAGACAGUACCUGUAGAAUAAGCUCCGGCUAACUACGUGCUAGCAGCCGCGGUAAUACGUAGGGAGCAAGCGUUAUCCGGAAUUAUGGGUUGUAAAGGGUGCGUAGACGGGAAAUUAAGUUAGUUGUGAAAUCCCUCGGCUUAACUGAGGAACUGCAACUAAAACUGAUUUUCUUGAGUACUGGAGAGGAAAGUGGAAUUCCUAGUGUAGCGGUGAAAUGCGUAGAUAUUAGGAGGAACACCAGUGGCGAAGGCGACUUUCUGGACAGUAACUGACGUUGAGGCACGAAAGUGUGGGGAGCAAAC